RNA transcript from Melanotaenia boesemani (Boeseman's rainbowfish), 5492 nucleotides. It is a transcript of the gene named ArfGAP with coiled-coil, ankyrin repeat and PH domains 3a, with no coding region annotated. The transcript has 25 exons. The record is from RefSeq and is a predicted model, not a curated record. Lineage: Eukaryota; Metazoa; Chordata; Actinopteri; Atheriniformes; Melanotaeniidae.
CUCAGCGCGUGAGUAAACCGCCGCUGGAGGAGCAGGAGACAGACGGAGGGAGGCUCGUCGUGUCGGAUACUUCCAUCCUUACUUUUAUCCACGCAGGAGAUGAAAUCCGUGUUUUGAGCGCGUGAAAAACUUCUGUCCUUGUCAAGAUGACGGUGGAUUUCGAAGACUGCAUUAAAGAUUCACCCCGGUUUAGGGCAAAUAUCGAUGAAGUGGAGACAGAGGUAGUGGAGAUUGAAGCGAAGCUGGAUAAGCUGGUGAAGCUAUGCAGUGGAAUGAUUGAAGCUGGGAAGACAUACAUCAGCGCCAAUAAGCUCUUCGUCAACGGCAUCCGGGACCUGUCCCAGCAGUGCAAGAAGGAUGAGAUGAUCUCGGAGUGUCUGGAAAAGUGUGGCGAAAGCCUCCAAGAGAUCAUAAACUACCACAUGAUACUGUUUGAUCAGGCCCAGCGGUCUGUGAAGCAGCAGUUGCACAACUUUGUGAAAGAGGAUGUUCGGAAGUUUAAGGAGACCAAGAAGCACUUUGACAGGGUGCGUGAGGAUAUGGAAAUAGCACAGGUGAAGAACGCUCAGGCGCCAAGGAAUAAACCUCAUGAAGUCGAGGAAGCCACCAGCACACUCAGCAUCACCCGCAAGUGCUUCCGACACCUCGCUCUGGACUACGUACUACAGAUCAAUGUCCUACAGGCAAAGAAGAAAUUUGAGAUCCUAGAUGCUAUGCUGUCAUUCAUGCACGCCCAGUACUCCCUGUUCCAGCAGGGCUACAACCUGCUGGAUGACAUCGACCCGUACAUGAAGAAACUGGCUGCUGAGCUGGAUCAGCUGGUGAUUGAUUCAGCCAUGGAGAAGAGGGAGAUGGAACAUAAACAUGCAACGAUUCAGCAGAGGACCCUCAUGCAGGACUUUGCAUAUGACGACACUAAGGUGGAGUUCAACGUGGACGCGCCUAAUGGUGUGGUGAUGGAGGGCUACUUGUUUAAGAGGGCCAGCAAUGCCUUCAAAACCUGGAACAGACGAUGGUUUUCCAUACAGAACAGUCAGCUAGUCUAUCAGAAGAAGCUCAAGGAUUCUCUUACAGUCGUGGUAGAGGAUCUCCGACUGUGCUCUGUGAAACCAUGUGAAGACAUUGAGAGGAGGUUCUGCUUUGAGGUCGUCUCCCCAUCCAAGAGCUGUAUGCUUCAAGCUGAGUCUGAGAAGCUAAGACAAGCCUGGAUUCAAGCAGUUCAAGCUAGCAUUGCGUCCGCUUACAGAGAGAGCCCAGACACCUGCUACAUAGAGCAUCUGGACAGAACAGCCUCACCGUCCACCAGCAGCAUUGAUUCAGCCAGCGAGCCACGAGAGCGCAGCUCCAGGGGGGAGACCAUCCUACAACGAAUCCAGUGUCUGCCGGGGAACGAGCAGUGCUGCGACUGUGGUCAGACCGACCCCCGAUGGGCCUCAAUCAACCUGGGCAUCCUGCUGUGUAUCGAGUGCUCCGGCAUCCACAGGAGUCUUGGGGUUCACUGUUCAAAGGUGCGCUCACUCACGCUGGACUCAUGGGAACCAGAAUUAUUAAAGUUGAUGUGUGAGCUCGGGAACAGCGUCAUCAACCACAUCUAUGAAGGCUCAUGUCAGGAGCAAGGUCUGAAGAAGCCAUUACCGUCCAGUUCAAGGCAAGAAAAAGAAGUCUGGAUCAAGGCGAAGUAUGUGGAGAAGAAAUUCCUAAAGAAGCUGGGCUCUACGGAGAUACUCAUCAAUGGGGAGAGGAAGUCGGAGCGGCGGUGGAGCGUGAAGAAGUGUCGGAGACACAACAGUGCCACCACAGUUCCCAAAACACGGAGAAGAUACCGACAAGAGCCCGGCAGCACUUCCCCUUCCACCCUCUCCGCAGCAGUUGCCAAUUUCAGACGUGACUCUCUGUUUUGCCCGGAUGAGCUGGAUUCUCUCUUCUCCUACUUUGACACAGGAGCUGGACCUCGAAGUCCGGCAGGCCUGAGCAGUGACAGCGGCUUGGGAGGCAGCACAGACGGCAGCACAGACAUCCUGGUGUUCGGCUCUGUGGUCGGUAGUGUCACAGAGGAGGAAUGUGAAGUGUCUGAGGACUCGAGCGGCGAGGUUGAGCUGGAGGCUGAACCUGAGGCGUCUGACCCGGAGGACGUCAGGGCGCUUCAUCCUGGAGCGCUGCUCUACAAAGCCUCAAAAGCUCGCAACUUGCCGGUCAUGGCUGAAGCACUUGCUCAUGGGGCUGACAUAAAUUUGGUCAAUGAGGAUGAUGAAGGGCAGACGCCCCUCAUACAGGCUGUGAUCGGGGGUUCGUUGAUCGCCUGCGAGUUCCUGCUUCAGAACGCCGCUGACGUCAACCAAAGAGACGCGAGAGGGAGGGGCCCCCUGCAUCAUGCCACAUAUCUGGGACACACAGGGCAGGUGUGUUUGUUCCUUAAAAGGGGAGCGACGCAGAAUGAUGGUGAUGAAGACGGUCAGGACCCUCUAAGUAUAGCUGUGCAGCAAGCCAAUGCAGAUAUUGUCACACUGUUGCGUCUGGCCAGGAUGAACGAGGAGAUGCGGGAGUCAGAGGGACCCUUUGGACAGCCAGGUCAAUACCCAGUCAGCAGCCCCACUGAGCAACAGUAUAAGAAAUGCAUUCAGGAAUUUAUCUGUCUCCACAUAGCAGGCUGCUAGUCAAAUCCAGUGCAGGGAGUGCCAGUAUGCACACGACGAGAAAUGUUGGGGAUCUUGGAUUUAGACACAUUGGAAUUCUUUGACUUCCUGUCAUCUAAAAAAAAAAAAAAGAGAGAAGAUGAUUCACCAGAUAAUCUUAUUCUCUACAUCAGUAAAUGUUGGGAUCCUUGUCCCUGCCAGCAGUUAGCUCCUCUCUCAGGAACAAACAACAAAAUUAGUGUUAAUCUCUUUUAAUGAUGUCAAAUUUGACCAACUACCAAAGGAAAACUAAAAAUUCAGGGCAAAUUUCAAAGAUCAGUGACUACAUUGGUCCUCGCAUUAAGCCGUCAGCACAGAGCAAUCAUGCCCUCUGUUUGGAGGUUGUACAGGAUUAUCUGAACCAAAGACCUGCCGUGACUAAUUUCUCCCAACUGUAUUAGAUUUAAUGUGCUUGUGUGGCUCUAAAUUAAAUGUUAAGUGGGAGGAAGAAAAAAGACUUAACAACACAGAAUGUAAGCACUUCUGUUGCAUGGAUUAGCAUAAAUCCCCCAAAGCUAUAAAACCGAAUGAGUUAGGGCCAUAGCUUAAGGUUCAGUAUCAAAGUAAGUGGGCAUUAGUGUUAAGAACUGGCCAAAAUGAUGCUUAUAACCUGAUAUCUCUGAAACAUUGACCUAACAUCAAAACCUAACGUAUUAGCCAGAGCAAUCUGUUAUAUUUACUGUAUGUUAAAGGACACUUUUAGCACAGUAUUCCCUUUAAUGUGGCUCUUUUGGCUUCCCAAAACAUGGAGUGUGCCAUCCUUUAACUCUCUUCCCAGUCAGCUGUUGAGACACUUGCACAUAAUGAUGUAUGUAGUGGCAAAAAAUACUCUUUGAAGGCUGAGGAUGCUUCAGUUUGAUCUUCUAACAGGACGUAUUUAGUCAUCCCGUUAAAAUGAUCACAUUUACAUUAUGCUACUUCCAGGAAGAAGUCAUUCAUACCUGCGUUUGACCCACAGAUAAAGUCUACUUUCUGAGCAGUAGACUUGUGCUGCACUGUGUGCAAGUAUUUUAUAUAGUUUAUUAACACUUCUCCAGCACAACUACAAGCUAAACCAAAAGCUAUCCUCAGCCUUUGUUUGAAGUUAACAGCAAGAACGGUGAAAUGAAGCUUUUAUGAUCCAUUAAAAACAAAUAGAUGCACUUUUAACUUUUUACCAACAGUUAUUUAAAUGUUUUUUUCUUUGUUUUUAUUUAUAACAGAAUUCCCUGAGCAAUAGUGCAAUGAGUAAUUCACUGCAGAUAAUCACUAUUUUUUUGUAUGAUUUUUAACAACAUCGCAGAUGGUAUUUUUUUAAGCUGGAUAUAUUUUGUUAGGAUUUAUUUUCUUGAGCACUCUCAUACACAGCACCAGUAUUAUUUUCUCAUAAGAAAUUCUCAGACGUUUGUUUAUAUGAAAUCACUUGUUGGUGGAGUUAUUCUGGAAGAUGGGCUGUUUUUUGAUAAAUCACAUGUGAUAUACUGUAUAUACAGUAUUUGUUAAAAUGUUUGCUUUUAGUAGUCUGUUGUGUCUUAACUAGCCCUAUAUUAGAUUUACUCUUUGUUUCUAAUGCAUGGGUAGGAGUUGCCCGAGUCCUCUGAAGCCCUGUUGUUUUUGUAUAAUUUUGUUUUUUUACCUUUUCCACCCAGUGUAUGUGAAUAUGUGACAUUUAACAUUGUUGAGUAAUGUUUAUACCUACAUCAUACACUGCCAAAUUGUAGAUUUUAUGGGAGAAAUAAGUGUAUGAAAAAAAAAAACACUGAAUUACUUUUCCCUGCUGUCUUCCGCUGACAGAAUAGUGACUUUUUGUUUAGCCCUAAAUGAUACGUAGCUUAACAGCAGUGAUGCAGUAUGAUCUGAACAAAAUGUUGCUUGAGACCAAAUUGGCCUGCACUAAAAUUACAAUAAGUUAUCUUUUCCCAAAGAUGUUGAUUAUAUUUCAGAGAUGCCAUGGACUGUUGGGGUUUAGUUUAGACCAAAGAAAACAAGCAGUUUUUCAGAGAACCAUUGUUUUGUUUUUUGGUUUUUGUUUUUUGUUUUUCUGGAUGGGAAAACCAGAACCAUUUUUUCCACUAAGAACUGUGCAAAAAUUAUUGUGAUGUAUUUGGAGACUAAACUUGAGUUUUUAUACAUCUAAGCUGAGUUUAAGCUUAUGAGUUUAUUGAAAAAACAGUUGCAUUAUCUAAGGAAAACAUGAUAUUAUCAAAUAUUCAUAGACUUUAAAGUCUUGUUAAUGAGGCAUGAUUACCGCCCUCUGAACCUUUAACAAAACUGUAAACUGUAAAUAUUACACAGAAAGCAUAAAACCUAAAUACAAUCAGCCUGUUUUUAUAUAGUAUUAGAUUUACAUGAACAUGAAAUAUUUGCUUUAAAAGCUUGGUGACUUCCUUCAAGUAAUAGAACUAACAUGCUAAUGUUAGCAAGUCACUGCAGGUUCCCCAACAUCUUCCACCUUUCUUUUUCCUGAGCUGUUUAUGAUGUUCUGUCUUAUUAAACAUUUCAAGACAGAUUUUCUUUAAAAAAUUGUCUGCAAUUACAAGUUUGUUAACUUGUUAGCAUUCUAACUACAUGCUAGCUAUUACUAAGACAGCCCUGUUAGCUUAGUUCUGAUUAGGACAUGCUUACACGGUCAAAAGGUUGUCUCAAAACUGUUUGGAAUCCGUACUUUUUUAAAGAUGUUUUGAAAACAUAAAAAUGGUGAUAAUAGCAUUGCAAUUCUAUGAUUUUUAGUUUUAAAUUUAUGUUUUGACUGACUUAACAGCCAUUAGCCACAUUAGCUUAUGAGCUAUUGCUUAGUUAGCCUUAGCAAGCUAACGUUAGUCUUCAUAUGUUGAGCACAGA